GGGGGUAUAGCUCAGCUGGUAGAGCAGCGGACUCUUAAUCCGUAGGUCCAAGGUUCGAACCCUUGUGCCCCUACCA
RNAcentral lists this transfer RNA (76 nucleotides) under Azoarcus sp. RNAcentral's name for it is "tRNA-Lys". It matches the Rfam family "tRNA". From Rfam's summary of the family: Transfer RNA (tRNA) molecules are approximately 80 nucleotides in length. Lineage: Bacteria; Pseudomonadati; Pseudomonadota; Betaproteobacteria; Rhodocyclales; Zoogloeaceae. The record is from RNAcentral.